RNAcentral lists this ribosomal RNA (3010 nucleotides) under Salmonella enterica subsp. enterica serovar Newport. RNAcentral describes it as "bacterial LSU rRNA". It matches the Rfam family "Bacterial large subunit ribosomal RNA". The record is from RNAcentral. Lineage: Bacteria; Pseudomonadati; Pseudomonadota; Gammaproteobacteria; Enterobacterales; Enterobacteriaceae.
GGGUUGUGAGGUUAAGCGACUAAGCGUACACGGUGGAUGCCCUGGCAGUCAGAGGCGAUGAAGGGCGUGCUAAUCUGCGAUAAGCGCCGGUAAGGUGAUAUGAACCGUUAUAACCGGCGAUACCCGAAUGGGGAAACCCAGUGUGACUCGUCACACUAUCAUUAACUGAAUCCAUAGGUUAAUGAGGCGAACCGGGGGAACUGAAACAUCUAAGUACCCCGAGGAAAAGAAAUCAACCGAGAUUCCCCCAGUAGCGGCGAGCGAACGGGGAGGAGCCCAGAGCCUGAAUCAGCAUGUGUGUUAGUGGAAGCGUCUGGAAAGGCGCGCGAUACAGGGUGACAGCCCCGUACACAAAAGCGCAUGUGCUGUGAGCUCGAUGAGUAGGGCGGGACACGUGGUAUCCUGUCUGAAUAUGGGGGGACCAUCCUCCAAGGCUAAAUACUCCUGACUGACCGAUAGUGAACCAGUACCGUGAGGGAAAGGCGAAAAGAACCCCGGCGAGGGGAGUGAAAAAGAACCUGAAACCGUGUACGUACAAGCAGUGGGAGCACAGGUUUACCUGUGUGACUGCGUACCUUUUGUAUAAUGGGUCAGCGACUUAUAUUCUGUAGCAAGGUUAACCGAAUAGGGGAGCCGGAGGGAAACCGAGUCUUAAUUGGGCGUUAAGUUGCAGGGUAUAGACCCGAAACCCGGUGAUCUAGCCAUGGGCAGGUUGAAGGUUGGGUAACACUAACUGGAGGACCGAACCGACUAAUGUUGAAAAAUUAGCGGAUGACCUGUGGCUGGGGGUGAAAGGCCAAUCAAACCGGGAGAUAGCUGGUUCUCCCCGAAAGCUAUUUAGGUAGCGCCUCGUGAAUUCAUCUCCGGGGGUAGAGCACUGUUUCGGCUAGGGGGCCAUCCCGGCUUACCAACCCGAUGCAAACUGCGAAUACCGGAGAAUGUUAUCACGGGAGACACACGGCGGGUGCUAACGUCCGUCGUGAAGAGGGAAACAACCCAGACCGCCAGCUAAGGUCCCAAAGUCAUGGUUAAGUGGGAAACGAUGUGGGAAGGCCCAGACAGCCAGGAUGUUGGCUUAGAAGCAGCCAUCAUUUAAAGAAAGCGUAAUAGCUCACUGGUCGAGUCGGCCUGCGCGGAAGAUGUAACGGGGCUAAACCAUGCACCGAAGCUGCGGCAGCGAACGUAUCACUUAAAGCGAUUCAGCGGGUUACGAUUGACGGAGCGAAGCGACGUCAAAGCGUAUACAAAGUCGAGUCGGUUUAAGGAUACGUUCGUUGGGUAGGGGAGCGUUCUGUAAGCCUGNGAAGGUGGCCUGUGAGGGUUGCUGGAGGUAUCAGAAGUGCGAAUGCUGACAUAAGUAACGAUAAAGCGGGUGAAAAGCCCGCUCGCCGGAAGACCAAGGGUUCCUGUCCAACGUUAAUCGGGGCAGGGUGAGUCGACCCCUAAGGCGAGGCCGAAAGGCGUAGUCGAUGGGAAACGGGUUAAUAUUCCCGUACUUGGUGUUACUGCGAAGGGGGGACGGAGAAGGCUAUGUUGGCCGGGCGACGGUUGUCCCGGUUUAAGCGUGUAGGUGUGUGUUCCAGGUAAAUCCGGUUCACUUUAACACUGAGGCGUGACGACGAGGCACUACGGUGCUGAAGCAACAAAUGCCCUGCUUCCAGGAAAAGCCUCUAAGCAUCAGGUAACAUCAAAUCGUACCCCAAACCGACACAGGUGGUCAGGUAGAGAAUACCAAGGCGCUUGAGAGAACUCGGGUGAAGGAACUAGGCAAAAUGGUGCCGUAACUUCGGGAGAAGGCACGCUGACACGUAGGUGAAGUGAUUUACUCAUGGAGCUGAAGUCAGUCGAAGAUACCAGCUGGCUGCAACUGUUUAUUAAAAACACAGCACUGUGCAAACACGAAAGUGGACGUAUACGGUGUGACGCCUGCCCGGUGCCGGAAGGUUAAUUGAUGGGGUCAGCGCAAGCGAAGCUCCUGAUCGAAGCCCCGGUAAACGGCGGCCGUAACUAUAACGGUCCUAAGGUAGCGAAAUUCCUUGUCGGGUAAGUUCCGACCUGCACGAAUGGCGUAAUGAUGGCCAGGCUGUCUCCACCCGAGACUCAGUGAAAUUGAACUCGCUGUGAAGAUGCAGUGUACCCGCGGCAAGACGGAAAGACCCCGUGAACCUUUACUAUAGCUUGACACUGAACAUUGAGCCUUGAUGUGUAGGAUAGGUGGGAGGCUUUGAAGUGUGGACGCCAGUCUGCAUGGAGCCGACCUUGAAAUACCACCCUUUAAUGUUUGAUGUUCUAACGUGGACCCGUAAUCCGGGUUGCGGACAGUGUCUGGUGGGUAGUUUGACUGGGGCGGUCUCCUCCUAAAGAGUAACGGAGGAGCACGAAGGUUGGCUAAUCCUGGUCGGACAUCAGGAGGUUAGUGCAAUGGCAUAAGCCAGCUUGACUGCGAGCGUGACGGCGCGAGCAGGUGCGAAAGCAGGUCAUAGUGAUCCGGUGGUUCUGAAUGGAAGGGCCAUCGCUCAACGGAUAAAAGGUACUCCGGGGAUAACAGGCUGAUACCGCCCAAGAGUUCAUAUCGACGGCGGUGUUUGGCACCUCGAUGUCGGCUCAUCACAUCCUGGGGCUGAAGUAGGUCCCAAGGGUAUGGCUGUUCGCCAUUUAAAGUGGUACGCGAGCUGGGUUUAGAACGUCGUGAGACAGUUCGGUCCCUAUCUGCCGUGGGCGCUGGAGAACUGAGGGGGGCUGCUCCUAGUACGAGAGGACCGGAGUGGACGCAUCACUGGUGUUCGGGUUGUCAUGCCAAUGGCACUGCCCGGUAGCUAAAUGCGGAAGAGAUAAGUGCUGAAAGCAUCUAAGCACGAAACUUGCCCCGAGAUGAGUUCUCCCUGAGACUUUAAGUCUCCUGAAGGAACGUUGAAGACGACGACGUUGAUAGGCCGGGUGUGUAAGCGCAGCGAUGCGUUGAGCUAACCGGUACUAAUGAACCGUGAGGCUUAACCUUACAACGCCGAAG